This is a long non-coding RNA of Myodes glareolus (Bank vole), 205 nucleotides long. RefSeq lists it as uncharacterized. Lineage: Eukaryota; Metazoa; Chordata; Mammalia; Rodentia; Cricetidae. The record is from RefSeq and is a predicted model, not a curated record.
CGGGACUUCCGGUGGCGCGCGCAGACUGUGAGGGUUGGAGCUACACUGCUGUGGGUCGAAGUCUCAAACACACCCCAUACGGCCUUGAAAACUUAUCCUGGGCCGGGCGGUGGUGGCCCGUGCCUUGAAUCUCAGCGUUCGGGAGGCAGAAGCAGGCGGAUCUCCGGGAGUUCGAGGUCAACCUGGUCUACAAGAGCUAGUUCCA